GACGAACGCUGGCGGCGUGCUUAACGCAUGCAAGUCGAACGGAAAGGCCCCCUUGUGGGGUACUCGAGUGGCGAACGGGUGAGUAACACGUGAGUAACCUACCCUUGACUUUGGGAUAACUUCAGGAAACUGGGGCUAAUACCGGAUAGGAGCUCCUGCUGCAUGGUGGGGGUUGGAAAGUUUCGGCGGUUGGGGAUGGACUCGCGGCUUAUCAGCUUGUUGGUGGGGUAGUGGCUCACCAAGGCUUUGACGGGUAGCCGGCCUGAGAGGGUGACCGGCCACAUUGGGACUGAGAUACGGCCCAGUCUCCUACGGGAGGCAGCAGUGGGGAAUAUUGCACAAUGGGCGGAAGCCUGAUGCAGCAACGCCGCGUGCGGGAUGACGGCCUUCGGGUUGUAAACCGCUUUCGCCUGUGACGAAGCGUGAGUGACGGUAAUGGGUAAAGAAGCACCGGCUAACUACGUG
RNAcentral lists this ribosomal RNA (465 nucleotides) under uncultured bacterium. RNAcentral's name for it is "partial 16S ribosomal RNA". It matches the Rfam family "Bacterial small subunit ribosomal RNA", at positions 28 to 507 of the family's 1533-position model. The record is from RNAcentral.